CCCGCUCACACACACACACACACACACACACACACACACACACGGCCCUCCUCCUCCAGAUACAGGACACUUUUGUUCUGUGUUUUCAUCAGGAGUGCAGUGAACGAGAGGCAGUGUCACAGAAGAGACGCUUCAGAGCUCAAGUCAAAGGUCUGUCAUGGGCCGCUGGGUGACGCCUGUGGCUGUUCUGAUGCUCCUCAUUGGUCAGAUUUGUGCAGAGACGAGCAGCAGCUCAAACGCUUGUCAGGAUCAGAACGCUCUUCAUGACCGGAUGGACGUGGUAGAGAAGCGGGUGGAGGACACUCUUCAGAAGCUGGACGCUGAGCUGGCUCUUCUGCUGGACGCUGUUGAGGCCCCUGAGUGGAGCCCCCUGCUGGACAAACCACUUAUCGACAUACUGGAUGAGCCGCCGGGUGAAAUAUGAUCCUGCCGUUUCUUCAUGAGAUCGCACACAACAAUAAAUGGAUAGAGCAGCUCAUAAAGUUCCUGUCCUAAUAAUUCAAAACAGGGUUUUUUUUUUUUUAAGCUUUUCUUAUUAAAAUGAAACAACUCAUUUAUACUACUUUACUGCAUGUCAGUGUUCUUCUUGUUUGUUUGGAACUGUAUUACAGAUGAUUUGAGGAGAUGAUCAAUCACUGCAUGCAUGUGCAUAUACAACAUGUUUACAGUACAUACAGUGAACACUUUCUCUCUUUUCUUUCCUGAAUCCAGGAAACCUGUUGUUUGUUCAGACUCCCAGCAUGCAUUGCUCUUUUGCUAUUGCUUCUGUUGUUAGCUUUAGUAACUUGUUCAGAGUUUGUUUUAAUGUACUGCAUCUCACUCAUUGAGAAAAUAUAAUUAUUUUUCACAUUU
Molecule: long non-coding RNA, 852 nt
Organism: Cyprinus carpio (common carp)
Lineage: Eukaryota; Metazoa; Chordata; Actinopteri; Cypriniformes; Cyprinidae
Source: RefSeq, a predicted model, not a curated record